CAGUAGUUAGUCCAUCAGUGAAUUCAACUGCCAUGUCUGCAACCAGAGCUCCUCCUGCAAGCACCUCAAAUGAGACCUCACUCACACCCACUCCACCCAGCAACUCAUCUGACUCUCAGGCCUCACCUACAGGCACCACAGUGACAGCUACCACUGAAGCCACCGAGACGACUCCUGAGCCUCCAAAGUGU
Maylandia zebra (zebra mbuna) is the source of this 191-nucleotide non-coding RNA. Lineage: Eukaryota; Metazoa; Chordata; Actinopteri; Cichliformes; Cichlidae. The record is from RefSeq and is a predicted model, not a curated record.